AUUCACAUGCAUCGGUGUGCAAUGCACUUUGGGUGCCACCCAGGCUUCGCAGCAUCAGCACUAGAUGGUGCCUAGGGAAGCAUGAUGGUUCUUAGGGAAGCAUGAAAGAGGUGUCUUACUGCAGUACACACCCCAUACAUAACUCAUUUUGACGGUGGUAAUACAUUGUGCGGCUAUAUUAAUUCAAUGCUAAUGCAUUACUGUUGUCAGUCAUCAUAAAAUGGGCUCUGCCAUUUUUUUUUUUUUUUUUAAGGAAAUAGCUGCCAUGUUUUUCGUGCUUAGUUCCGAAAUGCCGGUUGGUUUUGGAAAGCUUGUGGUAAUGAAAAUAGUCAAAAACACACGUAAAACACAUGGAAAAUUAUAAAUUUGAACACUAUUUUGAACAGUAUGGAGGCUUUACUAGUAGGCAUUGUUUUCCAGUUUAUACCAGGUGUUCAUUCUUUAUUGGAAACAUUUAUUAGAAAUUACCUGUGGCACAUAGCAUAGUCGCAUCAGAUGGAUUACUAGCACGACUAAUUGCAGUGUGAUAAUAGCUAAUAAAUCUGAAGUGCCUGCAACUGUUCAAUCUUGCUCAAGAUACUUGAGCUUGCUCUACACCUGCUUGGAAUGAAAGACAAUUCUUUUUCCAAGAUUUAUCAGAUAUCAAUUUCCCCUCCUCAUCACUUAGGUCUGGUAUUAAAUGUCCUCAUGCAGAGGAAGUCUUAGUGUAGUAUGCCGAGGAGCACGACAUCCUCCAGUGUAUUUUCUCUUUUCUAAGGAAGCAAUUUCGACGAAUAUUAAAAAUUUGUAAGGUGAAAUUAAAGGUGGCCUUGUGUAGUAACCUCUUACCAGCUGCCUAUAGUCAUGUGCACAAAGUUUCUAACAUCUGUAAUGCUCUUAGCAGUUGUGAGCAAUGACUGUGGCAUCAUGCCACCACAUCCCUUUCAACAGCUCCUGUUAAUUUGAGCAUUUAUAUUGAGGUGCUGAACAGAGUAGCAAAGGUUCCAAUAGAGCUGGUGCCCUGAGUGAGGCUGUAUGUUUUUCCCACAUAGACUGUGCAGACUUUUGCAAACACGUCACUUCUGGCUUGUGGCCUCUUGUGGCCUUUUUGCAAAGGAAAGCUGCAUUGCUUUCUGCCUUUGCAAAAAGCAAUGAAAAAGAAACUCAGUUCUGCCCCAAAGCCAAAGCAUUGAUAGUGAUAGCAAUGUAUUAGAAACCACACGAACUAAGAAUCGUAGUUUCAUCAACCAUAUAAAUUGCAGUAAGCUUUCACUUACUAAUUAAAUUAACAAGCAUGGUGUCAUGCAUGCACAUGCAAACAUCAUGAAUAGAUUGCACUCGACUGCUGGCGUGAUGAAAGGCACAAACAGAGGGGAGCACACAUUUUGUGCUGCCCUCGCUUAAACACAUCUCCGAAACGAUCACGUGACCUCCAACACUAGGCAUGCAAGAAACAGUGCACAUGAAGCGACCACCCAUCUCUGCUCAUCCAAUCUUUGUGCCUAUUGCAGAUUACCUCCAAAAUAUGGUGUGUGGGCUGCAUAUGCAUUUAGCUGCGCCUACAGCCAUGCACAGCCAUGGCUGGGCUGAGUGGUGGGCUGAACCACGUGCUGAACUCCUCCACCACUCGCGUGCACUUGACCACGUGACCUCCAACAUUGGUUGCGCAAGAAGAAGGAACCGCCUGAAAAACAGCGCUGGUCACUCUCGUGAGCUAAGGAGCACCACACAAUUUACAGGAACCAUGCCACAGAAGCCAGGGAUACCCUGCCAUUCCAGUGAUUGCCUUCAAGAUAGGACGCGUGCAGCCGCAUUCAGAUGUUGCAGCUGCAGUAGAAGACGGUGCCCACCUUCCCUGCCUUCCUUUCUUGAGAGCAUGAGGGGACACUGCAUCAAACCACCAACCUUCCCGGCUCACCCUUGCAAGCUUUCCCUAGCACCUCCAGCAUACGGUGCGCAGCUGUGAUCUUGCUGCCCUUGGACUUUAUACGGAACAUCAUGGCAACACCGACGGCGGUAAUUUUCCUGGAGUGUCCAUAUAAUUGCUAUUGCAAUAAAAAUAUUGGUAGUGAUAGUGUAACUACAGAGAAGGUUCAGUGCAAAAUUUUGUGAAACAAAUAGCAAAACUACAUGUUUUCCAUAAUGAAGGUAGAAAAAGCAUCGCUAUUACAGCUCGAUGAUGGAAGUGACGUGGAACCAACUUUGCCUGACAUGAAACAAUAUGCCUGCUUGUUCUGCACACAUAGUGUACGCUUCUUGCUGCUGCACUUCCAAGAUGUUUUUUCCACAAUUUAACAUGUAAUUGUGAUGAGGGUAACAGUUCGGUCAUGGGCUCUUAUUCAUCAUGUGUGGCUAAGCAGGGUAUUCCUAUGUGCGCAAGCGAGAGCUCUGUGAAAGAUCAAUGGAGGUGGAAAAUUCUGGUUGCUUCUGAUUGGACGCAUCAUGGUGUCAGCUCUCUAAAGGGUGUGACCACUGGUGGAUCAUGACGCACCUGAAGAAUAUGACAUGUGACUCACCGGUGAGUCACAAUGCGCAGGAAUCAGAACUUCAAGAAAUUCUGUGAUUGAUGACAUCUGCCUUACUGCGUAUCUGUGCGGCAAACUGCUAUAGAUGCCCGUGGCCUGAUACGAGGUAAUUCAAAAUGCUUUUGCUGUAUAAUUAAAAAUCUAUGGUUUCCAGCUAUACAGUUUUGUCACAAUUACAUUGGUGACGUCUACUAUCUAUACUUACCACAUUGAGCUUAACUGAGAUUUCCCUGCAGUUGGUCAUUAAAGAAAGCACAGAAGUAGCUAGGGGUGCUAAAAUAUUCAAAAGCAAUGUAUUCAAUAGCUUCUGGAUAUUUUACAGGGCACAAAUAGACCAGUACCACUGCCCAGGUGGCACUGCAAGAACACCAGCCAACAGCGACCUCCAAGCUGUGUUUAUGGGCUUCGAGCAGUACAAUACAUGAACGUUUGAUGCUGAGGUACAUCUGUUCGCUAUAAUGUUGCAAUGCGAAUUUCAAAGCAUUUUGUAGACAGAAAGCUUUGUUACACAUGCUGUUCAUUGCAAAGGAAGGAAAUAUUAUGCGAAAUACAGAUACAGCACAUGAGAAGUUGUUGACACAGUUUCACAGUGUUGCUGCGACACUGUUGUGAGGCUUAUUUGCUUCAUGCACAGCAACUCGGAACUGUAGGCCCAGAAGUUUGCAUGAAAACAUUGCUUAGAUGGAAAAAAAGCGAGCACAACUGAUUUGUCACUGUGCCAUUCAUCUAUUACUGCAACAUAUAGAGUUACACCGUUAUGUCACAAGUUUGUUUUGAUUGUCAAAUCAGUGAUCCAUACUGCAACAGGAUGCAUUGCUCUGUGAGUUUUGCUUGAUUGCCCAUGUCACAUUAUUAAUCUUCAGAAACUGACUUCAAGACCGGCAAGUUUAGAAGGAAGUUUAGAAAGUUGUGUUGGUUUGAAUUCUGGGUGUGCAAAUAUCAAAUUUGCCAGAAUUCUUUCAACGUGUUAAAAUAAAAGUUAUUUUGGCAAGGAUAAAAAUGAACUGGUGGGCUUGAUACACUAAAAUAUAACUAAUUUGACCUUUUAAAGCCAAGUUUUAUAUGGCUAGGUGAAAUGAAAAUCCCUCUGUCUGCGCCUGUGUGCAGAAAACUAUCAUCAGGAAUGGCUCGAGUGUCGGCGUCUUCAUUCACAGCUAGCUAGUUGGCGCCCUUCGAAGCAACUGCGCGAACGCACUCGCGCCACUGCACUCGCAUUCGUCAUCGUCGUCUUUUUCACC
This is a long non-coding RNA of Dermacentor andersoni, 3742 nucleotides long. RefSeq lists it as uncharacterized. Lineage: Eukaryota; Metazoa; Arthropoda; Arachnida; Ixodida; Ixodidae. The record is from RefSeq and is a predicted model, not a curated record.